UACGGAGGGUGCGAGCGUUGUCCGGAAUCACUGGGCGUAAAGGGCGCGUAGGUGGUGGCUUAAGCGUGCGGUGAAAGCUCGGAGCUCAACCUCGGAUCGGCCGUGGCGACUCGUGGGCUGGAGCACUGUAGAGGCGGGUGGAAUUCCGGGUGUAGCGGUGGAAUGCGUAGAGAUCCGGAAGAACACCAGUGGCGAAGGCGGCCCGCUGGGCAGUGGCUGACGCUGAGGCGCGACAGCGUGGGGAGCAAACAGG
This 253-nucleotide ribosomal RNA is filed under the name uncultured bacterium. RNAcentral describes it as "partial 16S ribosomal RNA". It matches the Rfam family "Bacterial small subunit ribosomal RNA", at positions 524 to 776 of the family's 1533-position model. The record is from RNAcentral.